CAGCAGCCACGGUAAUACGUAGGUGGCAAGCGUUGUCCGGAAUUAUUGGGCGUAAAGGGCUCGCAGGCGGUUUCUUAAGUCUGAUGUGAAAGCCCCCGGCUCAACCGGGGAGGGUCAUUGGAAACUGGGAAACUUGAGUACAGAAGAGGAGAGUGGAAUUCCACGUGUAGCGGUGAAAUGCGCAGAGAUGUGGAGGAACACCAGUGGCGAAGGCGACUCUCUGGUCUGUAACUGACGCUGAGGAGCGAAAGCGUGGGGAGCGAACAGGAUUAGAUACCCCUGUAGUCCCUGUCUCUUAUAC
This 301-nucleotide ribosomal RNA is filed under the name uncultured bacterium. RNAcentral describes it as "partial 16S ribosomal RNA". It matches the Rfam family "Bacterial small subunit ribosomal RNA", at positions 509 to 807 of the family's 1533-position model. The record is from RNAcentral.